UUCGACUAAGGUUCGAUUCGAGCGAAAGCGAGAAAGCGUUGCCGCAGGCAACGACCCGAAGGGCGAAGGGCGAAGGGCGCAGCGCUGAGUCAUCCUUCCCCCACCACCA
This 109-nucleotide small RNA is filed under the name Salmonella enterica subsp. enterica serovar Havana. RNAcentral describes it as "partial RtT sRNA". It matches the Rfam family "RtT RNA", at positions 31 to 130 of the family's 130-position model. Rfam says of the family: This family represents a bacterial cis-regulatory element known as RtT RNA. The exact function of RtT is unknown although it is thought that it may be involved in changing the cellular response in relation to amino acid starvation. Lineage: Bacteria; Pseudomonadati; Pseudomonadota; Gammaproteobacteria; Enterobacterales; Enterobacteriaceae. The record is from RNAcentral.